CCUCGUGUUGCAUCCCUCUUUUAUGUUUAACCUUUUUUUUUUUGGUUAAAACUUUAUGACUCCAUAACUUUUAGACCGUGAGGCCAAACUUGGCAUGUGAUACCUUUUCGGAAAGCCCAAAGACAGCCCCUCCGACGAAAGAAGCAGGACAAUGGAACUUCCAUUGACGUUUUGUCGACCACAAAUUUUGACCUUUAGCUACUUUUUCGGGCAUUUUUCGUGAUUUGGGCUAUAUUACGGACCCAAAAUUACUUGUUCAAGCAUUGUUUUCGAAUUUUUUCAUGCAUCAAAGCUCAUUAAGACUAGAUGGGGUAUCCCUACAUAGCGGGUGGGACCCACGGCAAUGGUUCAUCAAGUCUUUCAAAAAAGAAUAUAUACGAUUGCAUUGCAUAUACUAACGGAUGCGAUCAUACCAGCACUAAUGCACCGGAUCCCAUCAGAACUCCGCAGUUAAGCGUGCUUGGGCGAGAGUAGUAGCUAGGAUGGCGGGUGACCUCCCGGGAAGAAUCNCUAGUCGC
RNAcentral lists this ribosomal RNA (518 nucleotides) under Arabidopsis thaliana (thale cress). The record is from RNAcentral. Lineage: Eukaryota; Viridiplantae; Streptophyta; Magnoliopsida; Brassicales; Brassicaceae.